UCAAAAUAUACUAAAUCUGUGUGUGUUUUUCAUCGCUGAACCCAUUUUUCAGUGAAACUUCAUCGCAUUGCAUCACAUGCAUACCGAACUCAUUUUUCAAUCAACUCUGAACUUCAUCGCUUUCAAUCAACUAGUUUCAGCAAAGUUUGAUUUCGCUUUCAAUCAACUAGUUUCAGCAAAGUUUGAUUUCAGGAAGUGUAUCGCGUUGUUUCUGUGAAUCCUUUCUCAUUCGCUCAACUUCGCUUCGCUUCUGUGACGAUUGAAAAGGGCUUCGCUCAUUCGCUCUCUUCUUCUCCAACACCGCACCGCUCAUUUGCUCACUGAAACUGAGAGGAAUCCAUUUCGCAGUGACGACAAACGAAGCUGAGAGGAAACCAUUUCACAGUGACGACAUUGGUAAGGAAGAAUUAGGGGUUUUAUACUUUGAGCGACAUUGGUAGCUGAAGAAUUAGGGUUUGUUCUUUGAAAUGGAGUUCACGAUUGAAGAAUUAACAUUGUAUUUCCCAUACGACUACAUAUACCCAGAACAAUUGUCAUACAUGAUUGAAUUAAAACAAACCCUAGAUGAAAAAGGACAUUGUUUACUCGAAAUGCCGCCAGGAACGGGAAAAACAAUUGCAUUACUGUCACUAAUCAUAAGCUACAUACUUUCGAAAGCUCAAUCUCCGCGAAAGCUUAUUUUCUGCACCUGAACGGUUCACGAGAUGGAAAAGACUCUUGUCGAGCUUCGACUACUUCAUGCUUAUAUGGUUAAGUGUAAUGGUCCUGUUGAUAAGAUGCUCGCGCUCGGAUUCUCUUCGAAGAAGAAUAUUUGUGUUAAUAAUGACGUUCUGGCUGCUGAGAAUUGUGAUUCAGUUGAGACUAGAUGUAGGAAAUUGACGGCUAGUUGGGUUAUUAAGGCAAGGGCUGUAGAGGGCAUGACUGUUCCUAGGUGUGAGUUUUUUGAGCAGUAUGAAAGGGAUGACGUCGCUGCUGCUUUGCCUCCUGGAGUUUAUACUUUGCAGGGCAGGUCACUUGGAUGAUCAUAUAAAAACACACCCUUCUCAUCAAAAGUAUUACUCACACAAGCUAAAACGUCUGGAAAGGAGCUGGGUUUUCAAUGAUAUCAGGUUCUAUAUGUUGUGAAGACCACUUCAUGUGUUUUGAUGCUCCGGGAACAAGUUGCGCCAACGGUCACCUCGUGGUGUACUAGUUUUUCGGCUCAGAAUUUUCCUACUUCAGUUCUUUUACAAGAUCAGUGUAAUGAGUAUAGGCCUCUAUUGCAUGUAUCAAAGAAAGACAAGACAUGCCAGGCAACAAGGCAGAUGGAUAUUGUCACGAUUCAAGAAGAGAAUGACACCGGUAAUGCUGUUCAAGUAGCUCAUGACUUCACGAAGCACCUGCAUCUCUUGCCUCGUUUAGAGAAUUUAUUAACUUCCACGGGAACAUAAGUGGAUACUUCUUCAACUUUACAUAAUGUAGAUGGUUUCUGUAUGGUUCAAGAAUAUAGAUAUGAUAAAGUAGAGAUCCAAGUUGAUAAUAUAAUUGUAGUGAGGGAAAUUCAGAGCAAGAACAAGAGAAGAUGGCAAGGCAUGCACAUGAUGCGCAAAGUGCAAGACUACUUGAACAACAUUCCUAAAUGGCGAGUUAAAUAUAUUCACCGCCGAAGCAAAUAUGUGUGUUGAUUGCCAUGAAAAAAUUUGAUGCAACCAUUUUAAGUAAUAUUUGUUUGUAUGUGGAUUGCUCAUAUUUCAGCUAAACAAUGAACAAUUGCUGUCUGGAAAUCUCAACAACAUGGUUAAAGGGAAGGCACCUGUCCGUGAAAUUAUCUCAUGGAUUGAUGAAAGUGUGUCUUCAAAUAAUAGUCUAGAAGUUACACUCAGAGUUGUCAUACAAACUCUUCUCAAUAUUGGAUCCAAGAGUUUCACUCAUUUGAUAACUGUAUUAGAAAGAUAUGGGCAAGUCAUUGCUAAAAUAUGUCCAGAUGAAGAUAAGCAAAUUAUGCUGAUAGCUGAAGUCGGUUCUUUCUGGAAGAGUAACACACAAAUGACAGCAAUAGCAAUUGACCGAAUGAUGGGCUAUCAGCUUAUAUCAAAUUUGGCUAUUGUGAGAUGGGUCUUCUCUGAAGAAAAUGUUGAGCAAUUUCAUUUGUCAGAUCGUCCAUGGGAGGUACUUAAUCUGGCUUUUAUGGAUAAUUCAUUUGCAAUUCUUCUUUCUCAGUUAAAUUUACAGUGAUUGGGAAUAUCCCUCUUUUACUUUUUGAUUGUCUUUUGGCUUGAUCAUCUUUGCGUGACUAAUUGUACCAAGUUGAA
Molecule: long non-coding RNA, 2291 nt
Organism: Vicia villosa (hairy vetch)
Lineage: Eukaryota; Viridiplantae; Streptophyta; Magnoliopsida; Fabales; Fabaceae
Exons: 8
Source: RefSeq, a predicted model, not a curated record